AUGACAGAGGCAGCCACAUUUCAGAUGCCUUCUGCCCUAAGACGGUUGUUUGCAACUAUAUUGGUAUUUUGCGAGGCAACAGAAAUCCGACAAUUGUGGGAUAAACAUCUACCAUCAAUGUGUGAGGACUACCGUCGUAAUGAAUCCAAUGAGUCAGUACUUGAGCAGAUGGUCCUUCGAGAUAUUAGGGAUACUAGUAAUCAUGGUGGAGUCAAAGUAAACCGCUAUGGACUUCCAGAUCUGGUUGAGACCGAUGGUUCUUAUGACAGUGAGUACAGAGAGGUAACAGAGGAGAGGAAAAUUACCGCGGACAUAGAACAUCUAGAUCUAUUUAGUAGUUUGAACAAUGAGCAGCUAGCUGGUUUCAAUGACAUAAUGGAUCAUGUGAUGAACAAAAAGCUAGAUAUUCUUUGUUGA
Molecule: ribosomal RNA, 417 nt
Filed under: Triticum aestivum (bread wheat)
Lineage: Eukaryota; Viridiplantae; Streptophyta; Magnoliopsida; Poales; Poaceae
Description: partial small subunit ribosomal RNA
Source: RNAcentral